UUGACCUGGGUAAAUGCGUGUAUGUCCACAUGGUCACAACAACCAAAUUUUUAUUCUCCCCGGGGGCCGAAAAUUUUUUUUUUUUUGCCGGGGUUUUUUUUUUUUUUUUUUUAAAGUUAGCGGUAACCCGUUCAAUCAUGAUCUGCCACCAUUAGUUCCACAACCAGGAGAAGAGGAACAACUGUCUGGACCGUGUACAAGUCUCCUG
RNAcentral lists this ribosomal RNA (208 nucleotides) under uncultured fungus. RNAcentral's name for it is "partial 28S ribosomal RNA". Lineage: Eukaryota; Fungi. The record is from RNAcentral.